UGAGCAGGUAUACAGGCCCACAGAGCAUGCAGAUAAUUAUCUGUGACACCCAUGGUGCACUGUGAGCAGGUAUACAGGCCAACAGAGCAUGCAGAUAAUUAUCUGUGACACCCAAGGUGCACUGUGAGCAGGUAUACAGGCCAACAGAGCAUGCAGAUAAUUAUCUGUGACACCCAUGGUGCACUGUGAGCAGGUAUACAGGCCAACAGAGCAUGCAGAUAAUUACCUGUGACACCCAUUGUACACUGUGAGCAGGUAUACAGGCCCACAGAGCAUGCAGAUAAUUAUCUGUGACACCCAAGGUGCACUGUGAGCAGGUAUACAGGCCCACAGAGCAUGCAGAUAAUUAUCUGUGACACCCAAGGUGCACUGUGAGCAGGUAUACAGGCCACAGAGCAUGCAGAUAAUUAUCUGUGACACCCAUGGUGCACUGUGAGCAGGUAUACAGGCCAACAGAGCAUGCAGAUAAUUA
Long non-coding RNA from Brienomyrus brachyistius, 472 nucleotides. RefSeq lists it as uncharacterized. The record is from RefSeq and is a predicted model, not a curated record. NCBI's taxonomy places the organism in Eukaryota, Metazoa, Chordata, Actinopteri, Osteoglossiformes, Mormyridae. The transcript has 2 exons.